ACGGAAGGCAGCAGUGGGGAAUAUUGCACAAUGGGGGAAACCCUGAUGCAGCGACGCCGCGUGAAGGAAGAAGUAUCUCGGUAUGUAAACUUCUAUCAGCAGGGAAGAUAAUGACGGUACCUGACUAAGAAGCCACGGCUAACUACGUGCCAGCAGCCGCGGUAAUACGUAGGUGGCGAGCGUUGUCCGGAUUUACUGGGUGUAAAGGGAGCGCAGGCGGGACUGCAAGUUGGAUGUGAAAUACCGAGGCUUAACCUCGGAGCUGCAUCCAAAACUGCAGUUCUUGAGUGAAGUAGAGGUAGGCGGAAUUCCGAGUGUAGCGGUGAAAUGCGUAGAUAUUCGGAGGAACACCGGUGGCGAAGGCGGCCUACUGGGCUUUAACUGACGCUGAGGCUCGAAAGUGUGGGGAGCAAACAGGAUUAGAUACCCUGGUA
This 434-nucleotide ribosomal RNA is filed under the name uncultured Oscillospiraceae bacterium. RNAcentral describes it as "bacterial SSU rRNA". It matches the Rfam family "Bacterial small subunit ribosomal RNA", at positions 341 to 792 of the family's 1533-position model. The record is from RNAcentral. Lineage: Bacteria; Bacillati; Bacillota; Clostridia; Eubacteriales; Oscillospiraceae.